This 72-nucleotide transfer RNA is filed under the name Deinococcus aerius. It matches the Rfam family "tRNA". Rfam says of the family: Transfer RNA (tRNA) molecules are approximately 80 nucleotides in length. The record is from Rfam by way of RNAcentral. Lineage: Bacteria; Thermotogati; Deinococcota; Deinococci; Deinococcales; Deinococcaceae.
CCUGCCAUCGUCCAGCGGUCAGGACCCCUGGCUUUCAAUCAGGAAACGCCGGUUCGAUUCCGGCUGGCAGGA